RNAcentral lists this ribosomal RNA (425 nucleotides) under uncultured bacterium. Its description in RNAcentral is "bacterial SSU rRNA". It matches the Rfam family "Bacterial small subunit ribosomal RNA", at positions 356 to 773 of the family's 1533-position model. The record is from RNAcentral.
GGGGAAUUUUGGACAAUGGGGGCAACCCUGAUCCAGCCAUGCCGCGUGCGGGAAGAAGGCCUUCGGGUUGUAAACCGCUUUCGGCCGGAACGAAAUCGCCGGGGAGAACAUCUCCGGUGGAUGACGGUACCGGAAGAAGAAGCACCGGCUAACUACGUGCCAGCAGCCGCGGUAAUACGUAGGGUGCGAGCGUUAAUCGGAAUUACUGGGCGUAAAGCGUGCGCAGGUGGUUCGCUAGGACAGAUGUGAAAUCCCCGGGCUCAACCUGGGAACUGCGUUUGUGACUGGCGGGCUAGAGUGCGGAAGAGGGAGGUGGAAUUCCACGUGUAGCAGUGAAAUGCGUAGAGAUGUGGAGGAACACCGAUGGCGAAGGCAGCCUCCUGGUCUAGCACUGACGCUCAUGCACGAAAGCGUGGGGAGCAAAC